UGUGCCUAAUACAUGCAAGUCGAACGCGUUGGCCCAAUUGAUUGAUGGUGCUUGCACCUGAUUGAUUUUGGUCGCCAACGAGUGGCGGACGGGUGAGUAACACGUAGGUAACCUGCCCAGAAGCGGGGGACAACAUUUGGAAACAGAUGCUAAUACCGCAUAACAACGUUGUUCGCAUGAACAACGCUUAAAAGAUGGCUUCUCGCUAUCACUUCUGGAUGGACCUGCGGUGCAUUAGCUUGUUGGUGGGGUAAUGGCCUACCAAGGCGAUGAUGCAUAGCCGAGUUGAGAGACUGAUCGGCCACAAUGGGACUGAGACACGGCCCAUACUCCUACGGGAGGCAGCAGUAGGGAAUCUUCCACAAUGGGCGCAAGCCUGAUGGAGCAACACCGCGUGAGUGAAGAAGGGUUUCGGCUCGUAAAGCUCUGUUGUUAAAGAAGAACACGUAUGAGAGUAACUGUUUGGGCGUUGACGGUAUUCCCCCGGAAAGGCACGGCUUAUGACGUGGCAUCAAACGAAAUGAAACGUUGGUGGCGAGGGUUAUCCCCAAUUAUUUGGUGUAAAAAAAAUGCCGGGCGGGUUU
This 584-nucleotide ribosomal RNA is filed under the name Limosilactobacillus fermentum. RNAcentral's name for it is "bacterial SSU rRNA". It matches the Rfam family "Bacterial small subunit ribosomal RNA", at positions 43 to 583 of the family's 1533-position model. The record is from RNAcentral. Lineage: Bacteria; Bacillati; Bacillota; Bacilli; Lactobacillales; Lactobacillaceae.